RNAcentral lists this ribosomal RNA (484 nucleotides) under uncultured bacterium. Its description in RNAcentral is "partial 16S ribosomal RNA". It matches the Rfam family "Bacterial small subunit ribosomal RNA", at positions 28 to 507 of the family's 1533-position model. The record is from RNAcentral.
AUUGAACGCUGGCGGCAUGCUUUACACAUGCAAGUCGAACGGCAGCGCGGGCUUCGGCCUGGAGGCGAGUGGCGAACGGGUGAGUAAUGCAUCGGAACGUGCCCAGUAGUGGGGGAUAGCCCGGCGAAAGACGGAUUAAUACCGCAUACGACCUGAGGGUGAAAGCGGGGGACCGAAAGACCUCGCGCUAUUGGAGCGGCCGAUGUCGGAUUGGCUAGUUGGUGGGGUGAAGGCUUACCAAGGCGACGAUCCGUAGCUGGUCUGAGAGGACGACGAGCCACACUGGAACUGAGACACGCCCCAGACUCCUACGGGAGGCCGCAGUCGGGAAUUUUGGACAAUGGGGGCAAACCUGAUCCAGCCAUGCCGCGUGCGGUACGAAGGCCUUCGGGUUGUAAAGCGCUUUUGUUCGGGAAGAAACGCUUUGGGCUAAUACCCCGCGGGGAUGACGGUACCGGAUGAAUAAGCACCGGCUAACUACGUG